Molecule: ribosomal RNA, 253 nt
Filed under: uncultured bacterium
Lineage: Bacteria
Description: partial 16S ribosomal RNA
Rfam family: Bacterial small subunit ribosomal RNA
Source: RNAcentral
AACGUAGGAGGCGAGCGUUAUCCGGAUUUACUGGGCGUAAAGCGCGUGUAGGCGGCAUGAUAAGUUGGAUGUGAAAGCUCCCGGCUAAACUGGGAGAGGACGUUCAAUACUGUCAAGCUUGAGGAUGGGAGAGGGAGGUGGAAUUCCGGGUGUAGUGGUGAAAUGCGUAGAUAUCCGGAGGAACACCAGUGGCGAAGGCGGCCUCCUGGCCCAUUUCUGACGCUCAGACGCGAAAGCUAGGGUAGCAAACGGG